Molecule: transfer RNA, 135 nt
Filed under: Gemmatirosa kalamazoonensis
Lineage: Bacteria; Pseudomonadati; Gemmatimonadota; Gemmatimonadia; Gemmatimonadales; Gemmatimonadaceae
Description: Gemmatimonadetes bacterium KBS708 tRNA
Rfam family: tRNA
About the family: Transfer RNA (tRNA) molecules are approximately 80 nucleotides in length.
Source: Rfam by way of RNAcentral
AGUACCGUAGCUCAGUCGGUUAGAGCGCGAGACUGUCCUCACCGUUCCCUUGCCCGCAUGACCACGUGGUCGAGCGGGCCGAUGGUCGAGGCUCAUCGGAUCUCGAGGCCGCGGGUUCGAGUCCCGCCGGUACUU